Molecule: transfer RNA, 66 nt
Filed under: Typhlodessus monteithi
Lineage: Eukaryota; Metazoa; Arthropoda; Insecta; Coleoptera; Dytiscidae
Description: tRNA-Ala
Source: RNAcentral
AGGAAUAUAGUUAACUAUAACAUUUAAAUUGCAUAUAAAAAAUAUUGAAAUAUUCAAUUAUUCUUA